CCUACGGGAGGCAGCAGUGGGGAAUCUUGCGCAAUGGGCGAAAGCCUGACGCAGCAACGCCGCGUGCGGGAAGAAGGCCUUCGGGUUGUAAACCGCUUUCAGAAGGAACGAAAAUGACGGUACUUUCAGAAGAAGGUGCGGCCAACUACGUGCCAGCAGCCGCGGUGACACGUAGGCACCAAGCGUUGUCCGGAUUUAUUGGGCGUAAAGAGCUCGUAGGCGGUUCGGUAAGUCGGGUGUGAAAACUUUGGGCUCAACCCAAAGCGUGCACUCGAUACUGCCGUGACUAGAGUUCGGUAGGGGAGCGGGGAAUUCCUAGUGUAGCGGUGAAAUGCGCAGAUAUUAGGAGGAACACCGGUGGCGAAGGCGCCGCUCUGGGCCGAAACUGACGCUGAGGAGCGAAAGCGUGGGUAGCAAACAGGAUUAGAUACCCUGGUAGUCCACGCCGUAAACGUUGGGCACUAGGUGUGGGUCUCAACCAACGAGAUCCGCGCCGUCGCAAACGCAUUAAGUGCCCCGCCUGGGGAGGUACGGCCGCGAGUAAACGUACAAGAAGUAGACGCGNGAGACNGCGACGCGACGACGAGGAGAG
This 592-nucleotide ribosomal RNA is filed under the name uncultured bacterium. Its description in RNAcentral is "bacterial SSU rRNA". The stretch from base 1 to 521 matches the Rfam family "Bacterial small subunit ribosomal RNA", at positions 338 to 873 of the family's 1533-position model. The record is from RNAcentral.